This 310-nucleotide ribosomal RNA is filed under the name uncultured bacterium. Its description in RNAcentral is "partial 16S ribosomal RNA". It matches the Rfam family "Bacterial small subunit ribosomal RNA", at positions 503 to 810 of the family's 1533-position model. The record is from RNAcentral.
AAGAGACAGCAGCCCGCGGUAAUACGUAGGUGGCAAGCGUUGUCCGGAAUUAUUGGGCGUAAAGCGCGCGCAGGCGGCCUAUCCAGUCCGUCUUAAAAGUUCGGGGCUCAACCCCGUGAUGGGAUGGAAACUAGUAGGCUAGAGUAUCGGAGAGGAAAGCGGAAUUCCUAGUGUAGCGGUGAAAUGCGUAGAUAUUAGGAAGAACACCAGUGGCGAAGGCGGCUUUCUGGACGAAAACUGACGCUGAGGCGCGAAAGCUAGGGGAGCGAACGGGAUUAGAGACCCGCGUAGUCCCUGUCUCUUAUACACA